Molecule: long non-coding RNA, 402 nt
Organism: Cheilinus undulatus (humphead wrasse)
Lineage: Eukaryota; Metazoa; Chordata; Actinopteri; Labriformes; Labridae
Exons: 3
Source: RefSeq, a predicted model, not a curated record
GCAUGUGCUGGACUCUUUGACAAAAAGACUACUGUAGAGAGAUGUUAAGAUUUUAAAAAAAGUGAUAUACUGUUUAUUUCAGUCAGGAGAAACCUUUGGCAGCCCUGCAAGUUAAGAGAAACGUUAAAAAGGAGUGAAACACUACGCCUCACGGAGGAGUUCUUUGCUUGUCCUCAUACUGAUUUUCCCGGAGCUGCAAGGAAGAACCAAGCUUCCUCUGAUUUUCCCUUUGGCCGGUGGUUUAACUUGGUAUCCAAACAGAGCAGUGGGCACAAAGAUCAUACCAAAGUGAUGGAGGCAUCUACUAUGACACCACAAAAUUCCAAAGAGCAACACAAGCUGACAUAAAGGUAGUUUAUAUUUCUGAUCACAUGAGUUCCUUCUGUGUGAUUUGGUGCAUCA